RNAcentral lists this transfer RNA (73 nucleotides) under bacterium. RNAcentral describes it as "tRNA-Arg". It matches the Rfam family "tRNA". From Rfam's summary of the family: Transfer RNA (tRNA) molecules are approximately 80 nucleotides in length. The record is from RNAcentral. RNAcentral also lists the same sequence under 2 other names.
GCGGCUGUAGCUCAACGGAUAGAGCAACGGCCUACGGAGCCGUAGGUUGCAGGUUCAAGUCCUGUCAGCCGCG